RNAcentral lists this ribosomal RNA (617 nucleotides) under uncultured bacterium. RNAcentral describes it as "bacterial SSU rRNA". It matches the Rfam family "Bacterial small subunit ribosomal RNA", at positions 331 to 939 of the family's 1533-position model. The record is from RNAcentral.
CCAGACUCCUACGGGAGGCAGCAGUGGGGAAUCUUCCGCAAUGGACGAAAGUCUGACGGAGCAACGCCGCGUGAGUGAUGACGGCCUUCGGGUUGUAAAGCUCUGUUAAUCGGGACGAAAGGCCUUCUUGCGAAUAGUGAGAAGGAUUGACGGUACCGGAAUAGAAAGCCACGGCUAACUACGUGCCAGCAGCCGCGGUAAUACGUAGGUGGCAAGCGUUGUCCGGAAUUAUUGGGCGUAAAGCGCGCGCAGGCGGAUAGGUCAGUCUGUCUUAAAAGUUCGGGGCUUAACCCCGUGAUGGGAUGGAAACUGCCAAUCUAGAGUAUCGGAGAGGAAAGUGGAAUUCCUAGUGUAGCGGUGAAAUGCGUAGAUAUUAGGAAGAACACCAGUGGCGAAGGCGACUUUCUGGACGAAAACUGACGCUGAGGCGCGAAAGCCAGGGGAGCGAACGGGAUUAGAUACCCCGGUAGUCCUGGCCGUAAACGAUGGGUACUAGGUGUAGGAGGUAUCGACCCCUUCUGUGCCGGAGUUAACGCAAUAAGUACCCCGCCUGGGGAGUACGACCGCAAGGUUGAAACUCAAAGGAAUUGACGGGGGCCCGCACAAGAAGGGCGAAU